UCCAAGAGUUUUGGAUGUGGCUCAGGACGAACGCUGGCGGCGUGCUUAACACAUGCAAGUCGAGCGGAAAGGCCCCUUCGGGGGUACUCGAGCGGCGAACGGGUGAGUAACACGUGAGCAACCUGCCCCUGACUCUGGGAUAAGCCCGGGAAACUGGGUCUAAUACCGGAUAUGACCACUCCAGGCAUCUGGUGGUGGUGGAAAGUUUUUCGGUUGGGGAUGGGCUCGCGGCCUAUCAGCUUGUUGGUGGGGUGAUGGCCUACCAAGGCGACGACGGGUAACCGGCCUGAGAGGGCGACCGGUCACACUGGGACUGAGACACGGCCCAGACUCCUACGGGAGGCAGCAGUGGGGAAUAUUGCGCAAUGGGCGGAAGCCUGACGCAGCGACGCCGCGUGGGGGAUGACGGCCUUCGGGUUGUAAACCCCUUUCAGCAGGGACGAAGCUAACGUGACGGUACCCUGCAGGAA
RNAcentral lists this ribosomal RNA (470 nucleotides) under Actinomadura cremea. RNAcentral describes it as "bacterial SSU rRNA". It matches the Rfam family "Bacterial small subunit ribosomal RNA", at positions 1 to 489 of the family's 1533-position model. The record is from RNAcentral. Lineage: Bacteria; Bacillati; Actinomycetota; Actinomycetes; Streptosporangiales; Thermomonosporaceae.